UCCGAGGGCGUCCUGCUUCCUUAAAGCGGAAUACUUUAUUUAUUGUUAAGCUUUUUAGUAAGCCGCAAUAUGACUUCUGAGGAGUAUUCUGUGCUAGAGUAAAUAUGAAUUUAGUGAGACACCGGAACAUUUUAAAAAUAAUUUGCUGUAGGCUAAUAACCCCCAUCCCACGUGUCCUUCACCUGCGGAUGCAUAAGAGGACAGUUUUUAAUAUAUCGUCUUUAUAAUAUUAAGGCAGUGAAUAUAAACGUUUAUGAUUUGAUUUAGAAUCAUGACUUUGCACACCGGUACUUUUUCACCGGGUCUCUCUGAUUUAAUCGUACCCAUCAGAUUAAAAGGUUGUUGGUUCAACCGAAGGGCAACCAAAAUAUUCCUGAAUGCAGCAAAGACUUUAGAAUACACAUUAGCCUGCAGGAAUAUUUUUUGUAUUGGCACUUAAAGAUCGUGUUUAUUUCGUAACUUAAAGACAUGUGUUUUUGCAAUUUAAGCAAUAGGUGAUGCGAUCGUUUAAUAGGCUACGUUGCCAUUCAGAAACGAUUAUCCAUACAGAGCGGACAGGUCGUCAGACCGCCAUCUCAUGUGUUCAGAAAUUACAUAGGCUACUUUUCGACAAAAGGAAAUAUUAUUAUUUUCCUGUGCGUAGAUUUGGAAAAGUAAGCAUAGUUUAUGCCUACAUCCUAAUCUUGUGGCUUAAUGAACACUGCAAUAAAGCAGGGGUCCUCGAUCUUAUCCUAAAAGGGCCGAUGUGGGUGCAGGUUUUUGUUUUAGCCUACCAUGCGACACCUACUGUGACCAAUUACCUAAUCAUGGUCUGCAUUCAAGACCUUGCGAAGUAGGAUCAGGUGUCUUAGCACUGCGCUAAUAAAACAACCUGCACCCACACCGGCCCUUUAAGGAAAAGAUUGGAGACCUGCACUGAAUUUAUCGGAGUCUUUAAAGACGACCUGCUUGGAGGUCGACAACAAAAAUGAUUGAUAUCCGGAUAGAUGCGACGAAAGUGUUUUCGGAGCGGGGAUGCGGAGGCUUUGUUGUUUGCGGAGGUUCGCAGCGGUGGAGACGUCUGGGCCGCUCUGCGCCUCUGGAUAUUGAGAUCUGAAAAAAAAUAAAAAUCAGAAGUUUAUUGUCAGACAUUAAUAAUUCUAUAAAGCGGCGCUUCUCAGUAUUGGCGCCAGAGGAAUUGGACGUUGGAAGCGGUUUGAGAAAUGUCCCGAUGUUGUACUGCCUCUCUGAGACUAAAGGAAUCUGACAUAGUAGCCAACUUUCCUGCAACUGAAUGGGGAAGCUGAUAUAAAACAUUGUAUUUCAUCAAAAAACAGACAAUGAUACAUAAAAACAUAGAUGAUAUAUAAUACAGGGGAGAUGAGACUCACACUGUACACUGUAAAAGACAAUUUUUGUACCAUAUGUGUUUCUUGCUUAGUUUUUUUUUAGUCCAUCUUAUUUUUUGUUCUGUUCUGGAGAGCAGUGUAGUGUUAAAAUCACUGAUAUUGUGGAGGUGCAGCUCAGCAUGUCUGGAAUUGAAAUGUUUGUGAAAACACUUGGCUGUAGAACUGCAAUUAGUACCAUGUACAUACAGCGAUUUUACAUUUGCUGCAGGCAAUAAUGGAACACAUGCUAUCUGCAGUAAGUACAUUUGGUCGUACGUUAUCUUGCACCCUGAGUUGUCAUUACUGCUGGAGGGAGUUUUUUCUGGGUUGAACUCAUUAAAGGUUGAUCCAGGAAGUGUUUACACCCUGAAGCGAAUAUAAUUGGAAAAUAUUG
This is a long non-coding RNA of Anguilla anguilla (European eel), 1761 nucleotides long. RefSeq lists it as uncharacterized. The record is from RefSeq and is a predicted model, not a curated record. Lineage: Eukaryota; Metazoa; Chordata; Actinopteri; Anguilliformes; Anguillidae. The transcript has 2 exons.